UAUGUGAUCGUCUCUCGCAUAUCAAUAAGCGGAGGAAAAGCAUAACAUGUAUACCUACGCUUAGGAUGUUGACGAGACUGUCGAUCUCAUCUAUACAUGACUCUGCGCAUAUCAAUAAGCGGAGGAAAAGAGGUGACCUACCUACGCUUAGGAUGUUGACGAGACUGUCGAUCUCAUCUAUACAUGACUCUGUGCAUAUCAAUAAGCGGAGGAAAAGAAACUAACAAGGAUUCCCCUAGUAACGGCGAGUGAAGCGGGAAGAGCUCAAAUUUGAAAUCUUAAAGGGUUUCCCUUUACGAAUCGUAGUUUAAAGAAGUGUUUUCUGUUGAGGUUUUGGUAAAAGUUCUUUGGAAUAGGACAUCAUAGAGGGUGAGAAUCCCGUAUUUGACCUUUACUUUCAACUUUGUGAUACACUUUCAAAGAGUCGGAUUGUUUGGGAAUGCAGUCCAAAAUGGGUGGUAAAUUUCAUCUAAAGCUAAAUAUUGGCGAGAGACCGAUAGCGAACAAGUACCGUGAGGGAAAGAUGAAAAGAACUUUGAAAAGAGAGUUAAACAGUACGUGAAAUUGUCAAAAGGGAAGCGUUUGACACCAGUGUUGUUUUUCUGAAAAUCGAUUAAAGAACUGUUUAUGCUAAGCUGUUUAGACUUUAUCAGCUAUCUGUUUAGUUUUAGGCUUUUCUUUAAUGCACUUUUCAGUUAACAAGUCAACAUCAAUUUCUUUUGCUGUAAAAAAGCUUGAGGAAGGUGGCUUGAGAUUCGUCUUAAGUGUUUAUAGCCUCUUGCCUAUGCAGUCGGAGAGAUUGAGGUCUGCAGCGUAGAUCCUUCGGGGCUAAAUGCAUUUGUGCUAAGUUAUAGCAUUUUACAGACAACUUGUUGACUAUGAUUUGUCUUGUAGCUUACUCGCUUAUGUUAUUUUACCUACGCUUAGGAUGUUGACGAGACUGUCGAUCUCAUCUAUACAUGACUCUGCGCAUAUCAAUAAGCGGAGGAAAAGAGGGCUAUUACCUACGCUUAGGAUGUUGAAGAUGUAGCACAUCAUACACGCAUGACACACUGCAUAUCAAUAAGCGGAGGAAAAGAGGGCUAUUACCUACGCUUAGGAUGUUGACGAGACUGUCGAUCUCAUCUAUACAUGACUCUGCGCAUAUCAAUAAGCGGAGGAAAAGCAUAACAUGUAUACCUACGCUUAGGAUGUUGAUCUACAGAGCGAGAGU
RNAcentral lists this ribosomal RNA (1213 nucleotides) under uncultured Neocallimastigales. RNAcentral describes it as "partial large subunit ribosomal RNA". The stretch from base 169 to 1213 matches the Rfam family "Eukaryotic large subunit ribosomal RNA", at positions 1 to 631 of the family's 3401-position model. The record is from RNAcentral. Lineage: Eukaryota; Fungi; Neocallimastigomycota; Neocallimastigomycetes; Neocallimastigales.